Molecule: ribosomal RNA, 403 nt
Filed under: uncultured bacterium
Lineage: Bacteria
Description: bacterial SSU rRNA
Rfam family: Bacterial small subunit ribosomal RNA
Source: RNAcentral
UGGGGAAUAUUGCACAAUGGGGGAAACCCUGAUGCAGCAACGCCGCGUGAGUGAUGAAGGCCUUCGGGUUGUAAAGCUCUGUCUUCAGGGACGAUAAUGACGGUACCUGAGGAGGAAGCCACGGCUAACUACGUGCCAGCAGCCGCGGUAAUACGUAGGUGGCAAGCGUUGUCCGGAUUUACUGGGCGUAAAGGGAGUGUAGGUGGAUGCUUAAGUCAGAUGUGAAAUACCCGGGCUCAACUUGGGUGCUGCAUUUGAAACUGGGCGUCUAGAGUGCAGGAGAGGAAAGCGGAAUUCCUAGUGUAGCGGUGAAAUGCGUAGAGAUUAGGAAGAACACCAGUGGCGAAGGCGGCUUUCUGGACUGUAACUGACACUGAGGCUCGAAAGCGUGGGGAGCAAACAG